CAAAAGGGUGUUUACCGCUUCGAUGGUACACGCGCCGGCAACGGUGCGUGGGGUAUGGUUAUCAAGACAUACCCAACACAUAAUUUUUGUUUUCGCGAAGCUGUUGGCUACCACUUAUGUACCGGCGCUUCC
Pararge aegeria (speckled wood butterfly) is the source of this 132-nucleotide small nuclear RNA. RefSeq annotates it as U11 spliceosomal RNA. The transcript has a single exon. The record is from RefSeq and is a predicted model, not a curated record. NCBI's taxonomy places the organism in Eukaryota, Metazoa, Arthropoda, Insecta, Lepidoptera, Nymphalidae.